Molecule: ribosomal RNA, 582 nt
Filed under: uncultured bacterium
Lineage: Bacteria
Description: bacterial SSU rRNA
Rfam family: Bacterial small subunit ribosomal RNA
Source: RNAcentral
CCUACGGGAGGCAGCAGUGGGGAAUUUUGGACAAUGGGCGCAAGCCUGAUCCAGCCAUGCCGCGUGAGUGAAGAAGGCCUUCGGGUUGUAAAGCUCUUUCGGCGGGGAAGAAAAGGUUCGUGCUAAUACCACGAACUAAUGACGGUACCCGAAGAAGAAGCACCGGCUAACUACGUGCCAGCAGCCGCGGUAAUACGUAGGGUGCAGGCGUUAAUCGGAAUUACUGGGCGUAAAGCGUGCGCAGGCGGUUUGUUAAGACAGAUGUGAAAUCCCCGGGCUUAACCUGGGAACUGCGUUUGUAACUGGCAAGCUAGAGUGUGGCAGAGGGGGGUGGAAUUCCAAGUGUAGCAGUGAAAUGCGUAGAUAUUUGGAGGAACACCGAUGGCGAAGGCAGCCCCCUGGGCUAACACUGACGCUCAUGCACGAAAGCGUGGGGAGCAAACAGGAUUAGAUACCCUGGUAGUCCACGCCCUAAACUAUGUCAACUGGUUGUCGGGAAGCAAUUCCUUGGUAACGAAGCUAACGCGUGAAGUUGACCGCCUGGGGAUACGGCCGCAAGGUUAAACUUAAAGGAAUUGACGG